Molecule: ribosomal RNA, 556 nt
Filed under: uncultured fungus
Lineage: Eukaryota; Fungi
Description: bacterial SSU rRNA
Rfam family: Eukaryotic small subunit ribosomal RNA
Source: RNAcentral
GGAAGGGGUGUAUUUAUUAGAUAAAAAACCAAUGCCCUCUGGGCUCCUUGGUGAUUCAUAAUAACUUAACGAAUCGCAUGGCCUUGCGCCGGCGAUGGUUCAUUCAAAUUUCUGCCCUAUCAACUUUCGAUUGUAAGAUAGAGGCUUACAAUGGUCUUAACGGGUAACGGGGAAUUAGGGUUCUAUUCCGGAGAGGGAGCCUGAGAAACGGCUACCACAUCCAAGGAAGGCAGCAGGCGCGCAAAUUACCCAAUGCUAAUACAGCGAGGUAGUGACAAUAAAUACUGAUACGGGGCUCUUUCGGGUCUCGUAAUUGGAAUGAGUACAAUCUAAAUCCCUUAACGAGGGACAAUUGGAGGGCAAGUCUGGUGCCAGCAGCCGCGGUAAUUCCAGCUCCAAUAGCGUAUAUUAAAGUUGUUGCCGUUAAAAAGCUCGUAGUUGAACUUCAGACCUGGCUGGAUGGUCUGCCUAACGGUAUGUACUGUCCGGCUGGGCCUUACCUCUUGGUGAGCCGGCAUGCCCUUCACUGGGUGUGUUGGGGAACCAGGACUUUUAC